UUUCUUAAAGAAUUAAUUUUAAGUAAACCCUGCUCAAUGUAAAAUAAAUAGCCGCAGAAUAUUACUGUGCUAAGGUAGCAUAAUCAUUUGUUUCCUAAUUAGAGACUAGAAUGAAGGGGUAAACAUUUAUAAUCUAUAAAAAAUUUAACCACAAAAAUUAGACUAAAUAUAAAAAUAUAUUUAUAAAAAAGAAAGACGACAAGACCCUGUCAAACUUUACUAAAGUUAGACUGGGGAAGUCAUUUAAUAAAAAUUUUAAUAAUUUUUAAAAAUAAAAAUUCCUAAAAAAUUUAGAAAAACAAGUUACUGCAGGGAUAACAGCGUAAUAAAUUUUUAAAGCUCGUAUUUAAAAAAAAAAUUACGACCUCGAUGUUGAAUUAAUAACCUGAGUGAAGAAAAAAUUUCAUAAGGAAGCCUGUUCGGCUUUUAAUUAAUUACA
RNAcentral lists this ribosomal RNA (439 nucleotides) under Meta menardi. RNAcentral's name for it is "partial 16S ribosomal RNA". The record is from RNAcentral. Lineage: Eukaryota; Metazoa; Arthropoda; Arachnida; Araneae; Tetragnathidae.